Molecule: non-coding RNA, 71 nt
Organism: Parelaphostrongylus tenuis
Lineage: Eukaryota; Metazoa; Nematoda; Chromadorea; Rhabditida; Metastrongylidae
Source: the annotation of a GenBank genome assembly
GUUCGUGGUGUAGUGGUAGAGCACGCAUCUCCGGAUAGGUGAAGCGCGGGUUCGAUUCCCGUCUGAGGCCG